AGGUUAAGGACUUAAGGUCCGGAGCCGAAGUGAAAGCAAGCGUUAAGAGCGCGGUAAGUCAGUGAGUGCAGACCCGAAACCGGGUGACCUAUCCAUGUCCAGGUUGAAGCUUCCGUAAGAGGAAGUGGAGGACCGAACCCACAUCCGUUGAAAAGGGUGGGGAUGAGGUGUGGAUAGCGGAGAAAUUCCAAUCGAACCCGGAGAUAGCUGGUUCUCCUCGAAAUAGCUUUAGGGCUAGCCUCAUGAGAGUCUUAUGGAGGUAGAGCACUGAAUUGCCUAGGGGGCGUCAAAGCUUACCAAAGCAUAUCAAACUCCGAAUGCCAUCAAGAUGAUUCAUGGGAGUCAGACCAUACGAGAUAAGUUGGAUGGUCAAAAGGGAAAGAGCCCAGACCUACAGCUAAGGUCCCAAAGUGCGUGUUAAGUGGAAAAGGAUGUGGGGAUUCUAAGACAACUAGGACGUUGGCUUAGAAGCAGCCAUUCAUUGAAAGAGUGCGUAAUAGCUCACUAGUCGAGAGUCCCUGCGCCGAAAAUGUCCGGGGCUGAAACACGACACCGAAGCUUAGGAAUGUGUAAACAUUGGUAGAGGAGCAUUGCU
RNAcentral lists this ribosomal RNA (595 nucleotides) under Anaerostipes hadrus. Its description in RNAcentral is "partial 23S ribosomal RNA". It matches the Rfam family "Bacterial large subunit ribosomal RNA", at positions 643 to 1243 of the family's 2925-position model. Lineage: Bacteria; Bacillati; Bacillota; Clostridia; Lachnospirales; Lachnospiraceae. The record is from RNAcentral.